This is a non-coding RNA of Microcebus murinus (gray mouse lemur), 2098 nucleotides long. The record is from RefSeq and is a predicted model, not a curated record. Lineage: Eukaryota; Metazoa; Chordata; Mammalia; Primates; Cheirogaleidae.
AAGACCUCCCCCAUUUCAGACACCAGUCACAAAUCCCAGGUCACCACCUAUACUUCUAACCAACUGGCUGUAAAUUCACACAGUCCCCUUGUCAUGUUCAAAAAUUUCCUAGAAUGGUUCACAGAACUCAGGAAGGCACUUUAGUACUACUGGUUUGUUACAAAGGAUAGAACUCAGGAACAGCCAAGUGGAAGAGAUGCAUAAGGUAUGGAGGAAGGAGCUUCCAUGCUAUAUCCAGGAGUGCCACCCUCCUAGCUCCUUGAUGUGUUCACCAGCUCAGAAGGUCUCCCAACCCCAUAACUCACCCAACUCUGUCAUUUAGGGUUUUUAUGGAGGCUCCAUUGCAUAGGCACGAUUGAUUAAGUCACUGGAUCUUGGUGAUUAGCUCAAUCUCCAGCCCCCUUCCCUCCCAAGAGGUUCAUAGAGAAGGUCUCACAACCUCCAGAUCUCCAGCAUUGUCCUUACUAAUUAUUCUCUAUGCGAAACUCUCUCUUUUUGUGGUAAUUCUGGUCGUCGUGGGAUUUGUUUUCUUCUGGGAGAUAAAUGAUUGCAGGGAAUGAAAAUCUAAAGAGUUGGAAGUCAAUUUGGACUUGAGGAGACAUCACAUUUGCAGUCAGACUUCAUGUUCAAGGUCUAGCGUCACUGCUCCUGUGACUCUUUGAUGCCUUCAAGUUCAGGAGAAUCAUGUGAUAGUUUGCAAGGCCUGUUUCAAACUCUUAGCACACAAUUUAAUACCAUUGCAAAACUUAGCAUCUGGCAUCAUGAAUGGCUAGGGUGAUUUAUCCACUUUCCCCUUUACCUUAGUUCUUAUUUGCAGAGUGAAACAACGCUACUUCUCCAACUAAAGAGGAAGAUAGCUCAACAAAAGGCAAAUACUGCUGGGCAGUUUUUCUACUCACCUUGGGUUCUUUGGUUCCUCUGCUCACUUGAGAUAGUAAUCAAGUUGCAAUGGCAGGAACCACACAAACACCAUCUUCAAGUUGGUCAGUGGUUGACCUUUCAUCUCUUUCUUGCUUGCUAGAGAUUAGUGGGGCAGUUGAAUGGCAUGUUUGGACUGAUCGUUGAGCACAUGGCUAGGAGUCAUUUUUAGUAGUACUUGCAUUUUAGCAGAAAUUAUAAGUUGAUCCUAACUAAGGAACUGUCAGGUUCAUUGGAGACAACACUAAAGUUCCCCUUACCUUUGAGCUCCAAUGCCUUGACUCUCUUGUCUACAUUCUAGGAUGCAGAGGUUGAGAUGGAUUAAUGAUGGUAAGAGUAAAAUAUUGGUAAAAGCCUACUAUUGUCUAUGGCCACUGUGAACAGAGACCCUGUCUAUACUUGAUACAGAUGGUAAUGCUAUAGUUAAAAACAGCCCUUUUAUUUAAAAGAAGACAUUUCUUAUGUUAAGUAGCACGUGAUUUGGGCUGUUACUUACUUUUAUUUUUAACAAAAAUCUAAGGAAGAAAAUGAAUGCAUAAUAUUGGAGGAUAUUAUAUACACAUGUUAGUUUAAUUGUUGGUACAAACAGGCCCCAAAUUUUAGUGUAUUUAUACCACUAUGACUUAAUUCUUAUAUCAUACUCCAGUGCAGUUGGUGAGGCAGGAGCAGAGGGCUAGAGGGGUGUUGAUCUCCAGUUCAGAUGGUAAGUAGGAAACAAGAGAGAAAAUGGAGGAUUUUAUGUGGGAGGUUUUUAUGGGCUAGGCCUGGAGUAGCAUUCACUUCUGCUCACAUUCCACUUGGUAGUACUCAGUUACAUGGCUAUCCUAACUUCUACAAAGACUGGAAAUUGUAGUCUAACUGCCUUGGAAGAAAAGGAAUCAGGUUUGGUGCACAUCUACCCAGUCUCUGCUCAUAGUAAAGAAUAUGACAAAUACUAAGAUUAAUACUUACUCUUUCAGUAAUUGAACAUGAGUCAAGAUAUAAUUAAAUUAGUAAAUAAUGCCAUAUUUAUAAAAGAUAUAAGCUCUUUUGUCUCUUUCUAUUUUGUUAUAAUUCUUUCAUGUUUAAGAAAGGACAUAGAAUGGGAAGUUCAGUAAUACACAGACUAAAAAAUACUGUGUCAGAAAUUACUAAUUGCCUGGCCCACUGCUCAUCCUUCCCUUUCUUCUUCUUCUUCUUU